Molecule: ribosomal RNA, 1521 nt
Filed under: Bacillus sp. K4(2011)
Lineage: Bacteria; Bacillati; Bacillota; Bacilli; Caryophanales; Bacillaceae
Description: 16S ribosomal RNA
Rfam family: Bacterial small subunit ribosomal RNA
Source: RNAcentral
ACGCUGGCGGCGUGCUAAUACAUGCAAGUCGAGCGAAUGGAUUAAGAGCUUGCUCUUAUGAAGUUAGCGGCGGACGGGUGAGUAACACGUGGGUAACCUGCCCAUAAGACUGGGAUAACUCCGGGAAACCGGGGCUAAUACCGGAUAACAUUUUGCACCGCAUGGUGCGAAAUUCAAAGGCGGCUUCGGCUGCUCACUUAUGGAUGGACCCUGCUGUCGCAUAUAGCUAGUUGGUGCAGGUAACGGCUCACUCAAGGCAACGAUGCGUAGCCGACCCUGAGAGGGUGGAUUCGGCCACACCCUGGGAUCUGAGACACUGGCCCAGACCUCCUUACGGGAGGUCAGUCAGUCAGGGAAUCUUCCGUCAAUGGACGAAAAGUCUGACGGAGCAAUCGCCGCGUGAGUGAUGAAGGCUUUCGGGUCGUAAAACUCUGUUGUUAGGGAAGAACAAGUGCUAGUUGAAUAAGCUGGCACCUUGACGGUACCUAACCAGAAAGCCACGGCUAACUACGUGCCAGCAGCCGCGGUAAUACGUAGGUGGUCAAGCGUUAUCCGGGAAUUAUUGGGCGUAAAGCGCGCGCAGGUGGUUUCUUAAGUCUGAUGUGAAAGCCCACGGCUCAACCCGUGGAGGGUCAUUGGAAACUGGGAGACUUGAGUGCAGAAGAGGAAAGUGGAAUUCCAUGUGUAGCGGUGAAAUGCGUAGAGAUAUGGAGGAACACCAGUGGCGAAGGCGACUUUCUGGUCUGUAACUGACACUGAGGCGCGAAAGCGUGUGUAGCAAACACGAUUAGAUACUCUGAUAGUCCACGCCGUAAACGAUGAGUGCUAAGUGUUAGAGGGUUUCCGCCCUCUUAGUGCUGAAGAUCUAACGCAUUCAAGCACUCCGCCUGGGGAGUACGGCCGGAAGGCUGAAACUCAAAGGAAUUGACGGGGGCCGCGCACAAGCGGUGGAGGCCAAAUGUGGUCUUAAUUCGAAUGCAACGCCGAAGAACCUUACCACGGUCUUGACAUCCUCUGACAACCCUAGAGAUAGGGCUUCGCCCUUCGGGGGCAGGAGUGACAGGCUGGUCAAGCUAUGGUUGCUCGUCAGCUCGUGUCGUGAGAUGUUGUAGGACUUAAGUCCCGUCAACGAGCGCAACCCGUUGUAUCUUAGUUGCCAUCAUUAAGUUGGGCACAUCUAAGGUGACUGCCGGUGACAAACCGGAGGAAGGUGGGGAUGACGUCAAAUCAUCAGUGGCACUCUCUUAUGGCUACCUGGGCUUGACGAUCGCCACGUGCUACAGAUGUGAACGGCUACUACAUAGAGCUGCAAGACCGCGAGGUGGAGCUAAUCUCAUAAAACCGUUCUCAGUUCGGAUUGUAGGCUGCAACUCGCCUACAUGAAGCUGGAAUCGCUAGUAAUCGCGGAUCAGCAUGCCGCGGUGAAUACGUUCCCGGGCCUUGUACACACCGCCCGUCACACCACGAGAGUUUGUAACACCCGAAGUCGGUGGGGUAACCUUUUGGAGCCAGCCGCCUAAG